AUGUGGGGCCGGGAUCUUUGGGGCUGUGAGGCUUGCUGCCAGCUCUCGGUGCCCUAUUGGUGUUUUCUCUCUCCCAGAUGUCCAGGAGAGCAGAUUCUCCCCCUGCCUGCCCCUGCUGCUGAGCCCAGCCCUGGCUGAGACGUUCCUGCAGGGAUCCCAGAUGGAUUUCCUUCCCCUGAGGGGAAUCCCGGAUGUUUCUGGAGCAUCCCUGGAGCAUUCAGAGCCUCCCCACGUCCAUGGCAGUGCCCUUCCCUGUCCAUCCCAGCACUCCCAGCCCGUGGGACGGGCGGAUCCUGGAGCUGCUGCCCUGUCUGGGGAGCCCCGGGGCAGCCGGGGGGACAGUGGGGACAGUGGCACCCAGCAGGAGGCACCAGGCCCCCGGGGCAGGGGGGAUCCAGCACCCCCAGCUCCCGAGGAGGGGCUGGGGAAGGGGCUGGAGCAGCCCUGGAGCACAGCUGGGGAGGCUGGACACUGCUGUGCUCACUCCUCCCAGGACAGUGAUGGCCCAGCUGCUGGCUCUGAGCUGUCAGAGAGGAACAAGGAUUCCCCGGGGCAGGAGGAAUCCUCCUCCUCCUCCUCCUCAGGAAACUCCUCCUAUACAACUGCACUGACCAAAUUCUCAGAGAAAAGCGAAAGGGGGAUGCAGCAGGAAAAGGUGAAUGCGGUCGGGAGUGGAGCAGGAGCCCUGGAGAAGCUGGAAAAAGGAAAGAAGGUGCCUGAGCUUGGUUUGCCAAGUAAUUUCUGUGAUGUCCUGAGGAAAGGCCGUGCUACAAACUCAGGUGCUCGAGAUGUUCUUUGUGCAGCAGCUGCUGAGGCAGGCAGAGGAGCGCUGGAGGAACGUGGGGAGCGGCUCAGGGGCUCCCAGGGGCUCACGGCUGCUCCUCGGGAGCUGCAGGGAGCUCUCCUGGCCCUUCAGCAGCAGCAGCCAGCAGGGAGGCUGGGCACAGAGGGGCUGGUCCCUGCUGUGCCACCCAGCCAGCCCCAGGACGCUGCCCCGUGCCCUGGGCACUCCCCAGGGCAGGCAGAGCCCGCGGGGAGCAGGGAUGAGCUGACUGCCUCCGACUGCUCCAUAGAGAGGGGACACAGAGCCACAGAGAUCUCCCCUUCCUUCAGUCUGGGAGCUGAGAGCUCCUUCUCCCUGCACCUGGCUCAUCCCAACUUCCAGUCCACUCCAGGGCUGUUCCUGAAGAAAACUGGGACGGCAGAAGGACGUGAUGGAGUCCUGGAGAUCCCUCCGGACCUCCAGGCCUCUCCUUCCCGUUCCAAUGAAGAAGCCCCAGGGGAGUCCCCUGCCCCUGGAUGCCCUGGGGAGCAGCAGCGUUCCCAGAGUGCUGUGGAAGAAACCUGUGCACACCUGGAGUCCUUGGAGCUGGAAUCCCCCUGCCCUGGCAGGGUGCAGUCCUUGCCCUCGCUGGGCUUCCUGGAGAAGGUGGGAGCACGUCAGGAGUCCUUGGAGCUGGAAUCCCCCUGCCCUGGCAGGGUGCAGUCCUUGCCCUCGCUGGGCUUCCUGGAGAAGGUGGGAGCCUGGAACGUGGGCCAGCCACAGCAGGGUCCCGAUGCCACCAGCUCACGUGUCCCAGGUGCAUUUCCCCCUGCAAGGCAAGCCUCCAGUGCACCCCCCAGGGCUUCAAGCUGUGUGUUCCCAGUCCAGAAAAGCCUUGGAGAUGCCGAGGGCUGUGCUGCUCCUGCCUGCAGGGGGACAGGGUCUCUGGGAAGUUUGCAUUUCCCCCACCCAGAGCUGCUGCCUGCUCCCCCUCUGAGCAGGUCCCAGUCUGAGGACGCCGUGAACGCUUGCAGCAGCAGCAGAGCCCUGGCUGGAGGGACCCCAGGGCAGGAGAGUCCUGCUCUGGGGGGCUCCGGCAGCUCCACCACACAAAAGGCUCCUGGAUCUCGUGCUGAAGGUGUGCAGAGCGCCACGAGACGAAGCUCAGCCCCCGGUGUGUUUGUGUCCAGUGUUGCUCAGCUCCUUAGAAAGGAUGGGAGCUCCCCGGCUGAGGAGCACCAGGAGUGUGAGGAGAAGGGAGAUCAGUCCCUCAGCCUCAGUAUUCCCAGUGGUGACGAUAUCAUGGACAGCUUUGGAGCCAUUUCCUUGGAGAGUUUGACUUUUCCUGAUGGUCCUGGGGAGCCUCAGGGGGCCCUGGUGGUGCCCAGGCCCUGCCCCAGUGCAGGAGGGAACAGCCCCAUCCCCCCUGGAGCAACACUGGAGACUCCCAAGAAAGAAGAACUGAAUAUUGAAGAAAGGAUCCCGGUGUACCUGCGGAACCUGGGCAUCCAGCAGUCCCCUGGCACCAUCCUGGCGCCCUUCGUGCCGCGGGGGCCCCUCCGCGAGCUGGAGUUCUCCCCCUGGCAGCUCAGGAGCCUGCAGCCCCCGCCGGGCACCCCCGCCAGGCUCCCCCGGCCGGCUCAGGGUGCAUUGCUGCCAGCCUUUGAGAUGUCCCAGGCGAGCUUCGGCUCGGACGUGUCCCCUCUGAGCGUGUCCCUGGCCGCGGGCUCCGAGGCUGGCUCGGAGCAGGAGCAGGAGCUGCUGUCCCCCCGGGAGCUGUGCCCCAGCUCCCCCAGGCUCUCCGGGGAGCGCCCAGCCCGCCAGGGCGCCGUGCCGGGCGCCCAGCUGCAGGCGG
Molecule: long non-coding RNA, 2618 nt
Filed under: Chloebia gouldiae (Gouldian finch)
Lineage: Eukaryota; Metazoa; Chordata; Aves; Passeriformes; Passeridae
Description: Erythrura gouldiae (Gouldian finch) lncRNA (ENSEGOG00005015043.1)
Source: RNAcentral